RNAcentral lists this ribosomal RNA (253 nucleotides) under uncultured bacterium. RNAcentral's name for it is "partial 16S ribosomal RNA". It matches the Rfam family "Bacterial small subunit ribosomal RNA", at positions 524 to 776 of the family's 1533-position model. The record is from RNAcentral.
UACGGGGGGGGCAAGCGUUGUUCGGAAUUACUGGGCGUAAAGGGCUCGUAGGUGGCCAACUAAGUCAGACGUGAAAUCCCUCGGCUUAACCGGGGAACUGCGUCUGAUACUGGAUGGCUUGAGUUCGGGAGAGGGAUGCGGAAUUCCAGGUGUAGCGGUGAAAUGCGUAGAUAUCUGGAGGAACACCGGUGGCGAAGGCGGCAUCCUGGACCGGCAUUGACGCUGAGGCGCGAAAGCGUGGGGAGCAAACAGG